Molecule: transfer RNA, 72 nt
Filed under: Camelus ferus (Wild Bactrian camel)
Lineage: Eukaryota; Metazoa; Chordata; Mammalia; Artiodactyla; Camelidae
Rfam family: tRNA
About the family: Transfer RNA (tRNA) molecules are approximately 80 nucleotides in length.
Source: Rfam by way of RNAcentral
GAGGGUAUAGCUCAGUGGUAGAGUGCAUCCCUAGCAAGCAUAAAGUCCUGGGUUCAAUCCCCAGCACCUCCA